CAAAGUAGAGCUUGAUAGUAAGUGUUCCAUUUACAUUGGAAAGUUUCUGUGCGAAUCAGAUAUUUUGA
RNAcentral lists this transfer RNA (68 nucleotides) under Velarifictorus hemelytrus. Its description in RNAcentral is "tRNA-Val". The record is from RNAcentral. Lineage: Eukaryota; Metazoa; Arthropoda; Insecta; Orthoptera; Gryllidae.